GUGCCCUCUUUGGCAGUACAUACACUAACAGUGGGAUGAUGCAGAGAAACUGAGCCUGGGCCCUGUGCAAAAAUCAUGUGCAAAUUUGUGAAGCCCUCCAUACAUUU
RNAcentral lists this small nuclear RNA (107 nucleotides) under Echinops telfairi (small Madagascar hedgehog). The record is from RNAcentral. Lineage: Eukaryota; Metazoa; Chordata; Mammalia; Afrosoricida; Tenrecidae.